This 468-nucleotide ribosomal RNA is filed under the name uncultured bacterium. Its description in RNAcentral is "partial 16S ribosomal RNA". It matches the Rfam family "Bacterial small subunit ribosomal RNA", at positions 28 to 507 of the family's 1533-position model. The record is from RNAcentral.
GACGAACGCUGGCGGCGUACUUAACACAUGCAAGUCGAACGGAAAGGCCCUGCUUUUGUGAGGUGCUCGAGUGGCGAACGGGUGAGUAACACGUGAGUAACCUGCCCUUGAUUUUGGGAUAACUUCAGGAAACUUGGGCUAAUACCGGAUAGGAGCUCCUGCUGCAUGGUGGGGGUUGGAAAGUUUCGGCGGUUGGGGAUGGACUCGCGGCUUAUCAGCUUGUUGGUGGGGUAGUGGCUUACCAAGGCUUUGACGGGUAGCCGGCCUGAGAGGGUGACCGGCCACAUUGGGACUGAGAUACGGCCCAGACUCCUACGGGAGGCAGCGGUGGGGAAUAGUGCACAAUGGGCGGAAGCCUGAUGCAGCAACGCCGCGUGCGGGAUGACGGCCUUCGGGUUGUAAACCGCUUUCGCCUGUGACGAAGCGUGAGUGACGGUAAUGGGUAAAGAAGCACCGGCUAACUACGUG